This is a long non-coding RNA of Trachymyrmex septentrionalis, 340 nucleotides long. RefSeq lists it as uncharacterized. The transcript has 3 exons. The record is from RefSeq and is a predicted model, not a curated record. NCBI's taxonomy places the organism in Eukaryota, Metazoa, Arthropoda, Insecta, Hymenoptera, Formicidae.
GAAGACUAGCAGGAUUUUUAUGCCUAGCAAAUGAGAAAAAGACUUUGAUGUCGAUGUACAUAUUACCUGUUCGCCGAAUAUUUUUAUCAGUCGUACGUGGAUGUUAGUCAAGGAAUUGAAUAUAACAGAAUCACCAUGCUGAACAUAAUUUGAGAUCUUCUCGAGAACUUGUUUGCAGAAUUCGUAGAGGAGAUACCAACGCCAAAAACAUGCUGCUAAACAUACUACAAACGAGGCCGAACUGCCCAGACCUACACCAAUCGCUAAUAGUAACGAGAAGAAAAAAGAAAGCUUGUAAGCUUAACUGAUGUGCGUGAUUGUUGGGAUCGUAAUUGCCGGG